GUUUGAGAUGCAUAAGAGUGUGAUUAGCUAACAAGACAAAUACCGAAUGUCGAAAAGUAAUGAGCAAACAUCUAAGUAAGGUUAGGGCAGCUUCUUGAUCUAGCUGAUCACUGUCUAAGCAAGAUUAGCAUUUAAAUCCUAUGAGUUUCUGAGGCAUACAAAUAUCUAUUAUUACAAAGACAAAAUUUUAUGUUAUCAACCAUCGGUUUUGUUUUUUGGGAUUUUGUCAAGGUGGAAGAAGCUAUUGUUUUCCUACUGAUUGUCAUUAAGAGAUCAUCAAUGGUGGUCGGCACCGAGCAGAUGAUAUAGAUGGAUAAUUACAUAUUUAUUUGCUAUUUGGAAAAAAUAAAUGCUUCACUAAGACGUUUGGUGGAAAUUAUCUAAGGCUAAAAAUGGGUCGGAUGAACUCAUGACCCGAGCCAACCCGACCCA
RNAcentral lists this long non-coding RNA (432 nucleotides) under Phoenix dactylifera (date palm). Its description in RNAcentral is "long non-coding RNA (PDAC_LNC003871)". The record is from RNAcentral. Lineage: Eukaryota; Viridiplantae; Streptophyta; Magnoliopsida; Arecales; Arecaceae.